RNA transcript from Capsicum annuum, 1146 nucleotides. RefSeq lists it as uncharacterized. The transcript is spliced from 8 exons. The record is from RefSeq and is a predicted model, not a curated record. Lineage: Eukaryota; Viridiplantae; Streptophyta; Magnoliopsida; Solanales; Solanaceae.
UAACCCCCGCUAUCCAUUAAAAAAUAGCGGGAUAUUACUUUAAUGUUGCCUCCAUUUUACUUAAAAUUUCCCUCUCAAAUUUUCCCCCAAAUUAAUUUUUUUUCCCAAAACCGAUCUACUCAAAACAAAAUAUCGUCGGCUUCCUGUGGAAAAACGUUGUAAGUGUUGCCCUUCAGAUAUUUGCAAUAUAAUUUUAUUUUCCAAAUUGAAUGCAAAGUGCUCGAAUUUGAGCAAUAUCCUACUGCUCUCUCAUGGACACACCAUAAGAUAUUCUGGUGCUGCCUUAAUAGGUCGUACUCUGGGGUCGUUCCGUUUAUGCAAAUAUUCAGAAAUUUAUUCAAUUCCAGCUCACUAUUAAAGUCGCAGCUCUUGUAAUCAAUGUUGUGGGAAUAGUUUCUUCUGGUGAUGUUCCUCUAAACACAGUGCAGCUUCUUUGGGUAAAUCUCAUUAUGGAUACUCUUGGAGCACUAGCUUUGGCUACUGAGCCACUAACUAACCAUCUUAUGCAUAGACCUCAUGUUGGUCGAAGGGAGCCUCUGGUAACAAAUAUCAUGUGGAGGAAAUUGUUAAUUCAGGUCUGUGGCCUUUACUGAUAUAACCUCCGAAAGGGAAAAGAGCAGUGUAUGCGUGCGUGCUUGGCACUAAGUUAUACUUUUUCUACAUUUUUGGUGUACCCUUUUCCAUCAACUGUUUGUAAAAUAUUGAGGAUGAUAGUGCUGGCAGAAACCAUAACGACCUGAUCGUGACUUUCAUUGUGUAAGAAAUCUCUUAAGGAGAUGAGGCCAUUGACAUUGUAACUGUACGUAUGCCUAUGAACUUUUGAUAUUCAUCUGAUUAGCUACUGAGAUGCAAUAUUUUAUCUUCCAGCUACAAAACUUGUCACAAGAUCAAUCAAGGUGAUGAUGGCAUCUGGUUGUGAAGAGCCAAGUGAUGCGGCUAGUGGACCCAUUUCGCCCAUGGAUGCAAGGAGAUUACGUGAUGAUAGUGAUCCUAAUGACUGUCAUUGAUUUCGUUGUAAAUUGUCUUGGAUAUUCAAUUAUGAUGAUGUAAUUGUGUGGUUGGAGUGAAUCAUAGAAUAUUGAAGGUUUUGUGUUUAAAUUUGAUUUUGGAGUUUGAAGAUACUAGUUAAUGUUGAAAUUUUGGAGU